GUAAAGCAAAAGGUUAAUGGUUGUUUCACUCGCUUCAGGACGGCAGGAGGUCGGAGGAUCUGAACCUGGUGCCACAGGCCUGUAAUCACAGCACUUGGGAGGUAGAGGCAAAGGAAAUGCUUUUCUUGCUCAGCUAAUUGAUUUGGAUCAAUUUUGUGGCUUCCACGGUUUAUUGAAGUUCCUCCCUUCCAAUAAAAUGUGGCCUGGGAUGAUCUCCCAGUGCCAAGAGCUCUGGCCCGACGAGGAGGUACAGUCACAGAUUCAAAGUGGCCCUUUCAACCACAGAGAGACAGGGAGGAGUCGGGGGACAGAGACACACCUGACUUCCCUUUGGCCUCUGCAGCUCUGUUUAUCCACCCUCACUGACUCCAGGCUGAACCAGCCAGAAGUCAGAGGCAAGGAUGCCUGGGAAAUUCUAUUUGCAAGAGGCAAGUAUCAGCUAUCCGGGGUACCCCAGGUAUGCAGACAAAGGGUCCCACAGUCCAGGGUGGGAGCUGCUCUCGUGGCCCUGUGACUGGCCUGGCCAGAAAUGAAGACAUUCUUAAAUGCUUUCCAGUCCCCUCUCUCAAUCUGACUAUCAGACCACUGAAACAAUGGGCCCUACAAAUGGGGGAUUUCCCCAGGAGUCUCAUGAUGGGUAAAGCAAAGAGCACCAAGCAAGAAGGGGAGCUUGGCUAAGAGAGUUCAUGCAGCCCUAAUAACUUGCCAGACCAUAUCACAGACUAGAACUGAAGCCCAGACAGUGAUGGGUCAGUGGUGGGCGGGGUCACACCUUGACCAGGACUAUGGGAAUGUGUACAUCAUUGGCCCUCUCUUUAUACUUCGGCCUCACUUCAGGACCCUGGAGACAGGUUUAAGGAUGAGGAGUUCACUGUAUCUCUUCUUCCCUCUUCCCAAUGUGGCCAUGCUGAAUAAAUAGCCUUUUUCUGCUUUCCCACUAUUAAUUUGGCUCUUUCAAUUGGCUUAGGCUUAUUGAAAAUGAGCGACCAGACCUAACUUGGGGUACAGGUGGUGACCUCUAAAUCUGAUAACAGCGCCAGCUCUGGGGGAGCAUCUCUGCCAUGUUCGACCUGUCCUGGCACGUCUGCUCUCUAUGCCCCAAGUACAUCGGGCUCCCAGGAUUUAGUCCUGAUAUUUCAAUUAUUCCAGGAAGCUUCCGUGUGUUCCACUAUCAACCUGUGAACUUCUGAAGUAGUUGGCAUCCCUGGUUCCCCUUUACCAGGACCACCCACCUGGAGACUCCCUGCUCUGCAAAUAUGGGCACACUGGAUGUGCACGAGAUACUGUUGUGUGAUAAACCUUUUCUGGGGAGGCAUGAGCAAACAUCCACUCACCCCAGAGAGAGAACUGACAAUGGAAUGAAGUAUGGACACCCCAAAGUCCAACUUGGUAAACCAAUGAGCUUUACUGGAGUUAUUGAUAGGAAUAUAGGUAUGGUGGUUUGAAUAAAAAAAUGGGCUGGAGAGAUGGAUUAGUGGUUAAGAGCACUGGCUGCUCUUCCAGAGGUCCUGAGUUCAAUUCC
Myodes glareolus (Bank vole) is the source of this 1522-nucleotide non-coding RNA. The record is from RefSeq and is a predicted model, not a curated record. NCBI's taxonomy places the organism in Eukaryota, Metazoa, Chordata, Mammalia, Rodentia, Cricetidae.